RNAcentral lists this ribosomal RNA (497 nucleotides) under uncultured bacterium. Its description in RNAcentral is "partial 16S ribosomal RNA". It matches the Rfam family "Bacterial small subunit ribosomal RNA", at positions 28 to 507 of the family's 1533-position model. The record is from RNAcentral.
GAUGAACGCUGGCGGCGUGCCUAAUACAUGCAAGUCGAGCGAACAGACUAGGAGCUUGCUCCUCUGACGUUAUCGGCGGACGGGUGAGUAACACGUGGAUAACCUACCUAUAAGACUGGGAUAACUUCGGGAAACCGGAGCUAAUACCGGAUAAUAUAUUGAACCGCUUGGUUCAAUAGUUAUAAACGGUUUUUCUGUAACUUAUAGAUGGAUCCGCGCCGAAUUAGCUAGUUUUUAAGGUAACGGCUUACGAAGGUAACGAUGCGUAUCCGACCUGGUAGGGUGAUCGGCCACACUGGAUCUGAGAAACGGUCCAGACUCCUACGGGAGGCAGCAGUAGGGUAUCUUCUGCAAUAGGCGAAAGCCGGACGGAGCAACGCCGCGUGAGUGAUGAAGGUCUACGGAUCGUAUAACUCUGUUAUUAGGGAAGAACAAAUGUGUAAGUAACAAUGCACGUCUUGACGGUACCUAAUCAGAAAGCCACGGCUAACUACGUG